Molecule: long non-coding RNA, 4402 nt
Organism: Callithrix jacchus (white-tufted-ear marmoset)
Lineage: Eukaryota; Metazoa; Chordata; Mammalia; Primates; Cebidae
Source: Ensembl
GAACUCCAGCCUCAUCUGACCUCCAAAUGGACCCCAACUGCUCCUGUGCCGUUGGUGGCUCCUGCACCUGUGCCAGCUCCUGCAAAUGCAGAGUGCACAUGCACCUCCUGUAAGAAGAGUGAGCGCAGGACCAUCUCCAGGAAUAUGGGGGCUGGGCAGAGUCAAAGGAGGGAUCUCCACAGGUCAGAGCCAACCAAUGAUGAGCCUCCCACAUCUCCUUGCUUCAGCAAAUGACUUAGGAUCACAGCUGGAAGGACACUAGAGAUGGCUGCUGCUCCUGCUGCUCUGUGGGCUGUGCCAACUGUGCCCAGGGCUGGGUAUGCAAAGCGGUAUCAGAGAGGUCCAGCUGCUGUGCCUGAUAUCAGAUACAGAGAAUCCUAUUGGAUCUCAUCAAGCUCCUUGGGAAAGGACCACCAGUUCCUUGGAAGCAUGACUAUGGAGUGGAAGUUGGGAAUGUGUUUGAAGUCUUGCUGGUCUGGUCUUAAGGGUAUGUGGAUGACUUCCUGCACCAACUCCCCAGCAUAAGACACUGCUCCAGCAUCUGGACAGAGAACAAGCCUUUCCCACCCUUCAAGUCAUUUGAUCUUCACACAAACCAGAGAGACAGUAUGUGCAGAGGCUGGAUAUGUAGGGGAACACUGUCCUCUAGAGUAGUUAAGAACCUGCCCAAGGUCACACAACUCACAAGGUCAUCCAACUACAGGUUGGAUGAACUUAUGGUACAGCUGUCCUCAAACCCUCUCCAGAGCUGGCACAUCAUUGUGUAAGUGGAUGCUAAGCCCUUCCCAUCACAGUUCUUAGCUGGAAGUGCCUUUGGUGAGUUGGCCUAAUUGUGCCCUGACUGGAAAGAGGCAUACUGAUGCCCAGGAAGGUUAAGAGCUAUGAAGAGGGAUUGAUUGCCAGCUAUUACUCUUCCCUCUGCUGUCCUUGCGCCAGGUUUUCUGUGUCCUUGUGUUUUACAUGACAUAGGGUGCUGGUUGAGGCAAUGACGUUGCGUGAGUGCAAAUUUCAGCUGUGUCAUUUAUACGUGGGUAACACAACCACUCUGUGGUUCAGGCUCCUACCCUGUUCCAUGCAUAAUAACAGGAUCUGGCUGGUAGGACCACAUCAGUUAAUUCAUAUAAAGAACCUAAUACAGUGUUCAGUGUGUCUCAAGUAGUCUGUAAUAGCUAUGCUUUUAUUAUAUUUAUAGGAACAUUUUAGUACCUCCAGACAAAUAAGCCAGUCCUGAUAGGCUUAGCUGUGUGUCCCAUGUUGUUCCCAUCAAUAACAUGAGCAUAUGACAUAUGGAUCCGAGAGGGAACCCUACCCAUCCACAAAUAGGGAUCUACGCUGCAUAUAUAUAAAGCCAUAAGUAAGAUAGUCUGUGUCCGCAUAACAGAUGUGAAAGGAUUCUUGCCAUUUCUGCCAACACCUGCACUGUUAUUUUCCUUAACAUUUUCCUUUAAAGAAUCCUAUUUUUUAAAUGUAUUUACAGAAAAAGCAAACUCUCUGACACUACUGAAAAUAAGAAUCAGUCACCUUGCAGACAUGAAAGGUAGCCACACAGUUAUAUAUAUCCCUCUGUAUCACUUCUGUUGCUCUUGGGAUUGAAGUUGACAUUUGUUUUUGUUUAAAGAUUUCAAGCAGUGAAGAGGUGCUGAAGACAUAGCAAGGGCAAAGGGAAGUUUCAUCACUGACCUCUUUUCCUUGAAAAGCUGAGUGGUGGCUGGGUGCGGUGGCUCAAGCCUGUAAUCCCAACACUUUGGGAGGCCGAGGUGAGCAGAUCGCCAUGUCAAGAGAUCGAGACCAUCCUGGCCAACAUGGCGAAACCUCGUCUCUACUAAAAAUACAAAAAUUAGCUGGGCAUGGUGGCGUGCGCCUGUAAUCCCAGCUACUCGGGAGGCCGAGGCAGGAGAAUUGCUUGAACCCAGGAGGUGGAGGUUGCAGUGAGCCGAGAUUGUGCCACUGCACUCCAGCCUGGCGCCUGGCAACAGAGCAAGACUCUGUCUCAACAACAACAACAACAACAACAACAAAGCUGAGUGGCUUCAAACCUGCAGCACUGCUUUCACUCUCUGUCCUGGGCUAGCUACUUGUCUCCUUGUGUUGUCCUUGUCUGAUUAGUAAGACGCUGUCAUAAAGAGUAUUUUCCUUGAGGGUUGCUGUGAGGGUUGAAACAGCCAAAGUGAAUAAACAGGGUCUGGCUGAGUCUAAAAGCUCUGUAAUAGUUAAGAAUCCUGAAAGUAAUAACUACUUUUCAUGCUUCUUAAUUUAAUGCAAGGGUGAGCACAUCAGGAAAAAGAUCCCUCCCUUGGGAACAUUCCAAGUUUUGGGAAGCUCCAUCCUUGGGCCUGGUGGGCCAGCUAGGCUGUGGGAAGCCCCAAGAAGUUAUAGCAAAGGAGGAUGUGGACAAACGUGCCCAUCACCUUCCCAGGAGUGGGGAAUGGAAGGGAGGGAAGCAGGGCACUAUGUCUGCUCUGUUGCUGUGAAUAAGACAAACGUGGCCAAAGGAACUGGGUGGCAAUGCAGGUGAGGCAAAGGUCACAUGGGAGGCUGGUCCGCUGCACACAACUCCUUCGCUGCACUUCCCUAUCUAGAGAUGCAAGCACUAGGCUGGGGUUGCACAUGGACUCCAACAGAGGUGAGGCUCAGGUUACUGGUGCAGGGUGCUGGGCAGGGGACACCGCGACCACCUGUGGCUGGGUUGCCGGACCGCGCAGGGGCAGGAGUGGACCACAAUUUCUAAGAAAUUCGGGUGGGCUGGGAUUAUAGCAGGGACACCGCCUAAUGCCAGGCAUGCAGCCCCUUCAAAGCGAGUGGGAGCCAAAGGGCCGCCCGCAGGGUGCACACCAGCCUCGCUAGGGAGGAUCCUCCACUUGGCCCAUCUGCUGCGCACAGCUGGGCCCUGAACCCAGGGUUCCUCUGACACUGCUGGAGCCAGAGCCAGACCUUGGGUGGGACCUCUGCACCCAGCACCUCUCCCCAACUACAAAGCCAGCUCCCGCUGGCUUGCCUGCUUCUUCAGCUCUGGCAUAGGUGCUCCAGCCUCACCUGCUCUCCAGAUGGACCCCAACUGCUCCUGCGCCACUGGUAAAGUAUGCCAGGUUUCGGGGCCUUUAGGAUCCCUGAUUUUUAAUGGGGGAUUAAGAAAAUGCAGAAGGCAGGUGCAUUUUGAGCUCUACCUAAAGUGGAUUUUUUUUUUUUUUACUUUGUACUUCUGUUGCUUUUUUUCUUACCAGAAACCUUUAUUAUUAUCACUGAAAACCUUACCAUGGUCCCAGUGCCUCCCAUUUCCAAGGAGAGAGGAAUGAGGCUCAAAACUGCCCCUGCUCCAGGUCACCCAUAGGCCAGAGGUAUGCUGAGCUGGGAGCCAAUGCUCUGUCCAGCAUUUGAGCUGCCUGGGCAGGUAGGGAGGUGGGAGACAUUGCUUCUUCAAGAUUCCCCACUUAAGUCUCUGUGUCGUAUUAAAAAGGAGGGCACCUGCCCAUUUGAGCCUGUGGGGAGGGAAGCUGGGCUUCCCGUGCCUGGAUGGAACUAGGUAACAGGUUUCCCGUGCAGUGAGCAGGAUGCUGAGAGGCUGCUUCUAACCUUGCACCACACUCACUGCUCACUGCCUUUUUCUCUUCUCUGCAGGUGGCUCCUACACCUGCACCAGCUCCUGCAAAUGCAAAGAGUGCACCUGCACCUCCUACAGGAAGAGUGAGUUCGGGGCCUUCCCUGAGAAUCUGGGGGCUGAGCAGAGUCAGAGGAGGGAACCCAGAGCUUAGUGGGCAGGAGCGGGACAGUGACCAGCUUUCCACAUCUCCUUUCCUGGCAACUGAUUCAGGAUCACAGCUGGAAAAACAAGAUGGUUGAUUCCCAACUUUCAUUCUUAAAAUAGGGAAACUGAGGCCACACGAAUGCACCAGCCUGCCAAGCACAGACCUGAUACUUCAGGACUUUUCUCACUUAAGUCAAUGGUUCUGGGGAACUGGUUUUCCUUUGUCUCUGUCACCCCAGCCACUGCCUCUCCAGUCUUCUGUCCUCUCCUGGGUAUAGGUUGUGCUGGGCAGCUUUUCACUGGAAGACCCUCACUCCAAAGAUCCAGCUGAUUCCUCAUAGAGCAAUGCCACUGUAGACUAAGGGUCCUCUGGAGCUGGACAUAGGGCUUGAGCCAGGCCUCUGUUGGGGCAGAGAGGUCUUUAGUCAAGUCUGCUCUGACCUCUGACUCUCCCCUUCUUUCUCAGGCUGCUGUUCCUGCUGCCCUGUGGGCUGUGCCAACUGUGCCCAGGGCUGCAUCUGCAAAGAGGCAUCAGACAAGUGCAGCUGCUGUGCCUCAUGUCAGGGCAGCCCUGCUAUAGAUGUGGAAAGAGUUACCUAAACAAAUUUGGAAUUUUUUUCCAUACAACCAUGGCCUUACUAUAUUUGUCUCUCUUUUAUA